GGGACUAUGGCUUAGUGGUAGAGUUCUUGUCUUUCACACAUGAAGCCCUGGGUUUGAUUCCUCAGUACUA
Molecule: transfer RNA, 70 nt
Filed under: Dipodomys ordii (Ord's kangaroo rat)
Lineage: Eukaryota; Metazoa; Chordata; Mammalia; Rodentia; Heteromyidae
Rfam family: tRNA
About the family: Transfer RNA (tRNA) molecules are approximately 80 nucleotides in length.
Source: Rfam by way of RNAcentral